Molecule: ribosomal RNA, 449 nt
Filed under: uncultured bacterium
Lineage: Bacteria
Description: partial 16S ribosomal RNA
Rfam family: Bacterial small subunit ribosomal RNA
Source: RNAcentral
AAUGAACGCUGGCGGCAGGCCUAACACAUGCAAGUCGAACGGAUCCUUCGGGAUUAGUGGCGGACGGGUGAGUAACGCGUGGGAACAUACCCUUUGGUACGGAAUAGCCUCGGGAAACUGGGAGUAAUACCGUAUGUGGUCGAGAGACGAAAGAUUUAUCGCCAAAGGAUUGGCCCGCGUUGGAUUAGGUAGUUGGUGGGGUAAUGGCCUACCAAGCCGACGAUCCAUAGCUGGUUUGAGAGGAUGGUCAGCCACACUGGGACUGAGACACGGCCCAGACUCCUACGGGAGGCAGCAGUGGGGAAGCUUAGACAAUGGGGGAAACCCUGAUCUAGCCAUGCCGCGUGAUCGAUGAAGGCCUUAGGGUUGUAAAGAUCUUUCAGGUGGGAAGAUAAUGACUGUACCACCAGAAGAAGCCCCGGCUAACUCCGUGCCAGCAGCCGCCGUAA